GACGAACGCUGGCGGCGUGCCUAAUACAUGCAAGUCGAACGGUUUAGUUCCAAGAGGCUUGCCUUUUGGAACUAGACAGUGGCGGACGGGUGAGUAACACGUAGGCAACCUACCUGUCAAACCGGGAUAACCUCGGGAAACCGAAGCUAAACCCGGAUAAGCUCCUUUUUCGCAUGAAGGGGGAGUGAAAAGGUGCGACCUGAUGACAGAUGGGCCUGCGGCGCAUUAGCUAGUAGGUAGGGUAACGGCCUACCUAGGCGAGGAUGCGUAGCCGACCUGAGAGGGCGUACGGCCAGACUGGGACUGAGAUACGGCCCAGACUGCUACGGGAGGGAGCAGGAGGGAAGCGUCGGCAAUGGGCGAAAGCCUGACCGAGCAACGCCGCGUGAGUGAGGAAGGCCUUCGGGUUGUAAAACUCUGUGGUUUGGGAAGAAGGGAAAGGGUAGGACCCUUUGGUGACGGUACCAAACGGGAAAGCCCCGGCUAACUACGUG
RNAcentral lists this ribosomal RNA (494 nucleotides) under uncultured bacterium. Its description in RNAcentral is "partial 16S ribosomal RNA". It matches the Rfam family "Bacterial small subunit ribosomal RNA", at positions 28 to 507 of the family's 1533-position model. The record is from RNAcentral.